GAACGAUAAUGGCACACUCCGGCGCAAGCCGGAGCUCGCAAAGCCAAGGAGCGGAUUCCGCCAGCCUGGCUACCGAA
This 77-nucleotide non-coding RNA is filed under the name Elusimicrobiota bacterium. RNAcentral describes it as "Elusimicrobia bacterium c-di-GMP sequence". It matches the Rfam family "c-di-GMP-I riboswitch aptamer". Rfam says of the family: GEMM was predicted in a large-scale screen for bacterial structured RNA regulatory elements. Lineage: Bacteria; Pseudomonadati; Elusimicrobiota. The record is from RNAcentral.